UCAAAUUACCACAGAACACGAUUUCCAUAUGAAUGAAUCAAAACAUAAUUUGAUCUUCAAAGCAUAAAUGACCAAUGCUGGCUGAUGGCUGUGGUUUACACAUUAACAGACAUUGGAAGAAAAUCAUGGAAAAGUUAAGAGAUAAAUGUCAUAUAUUUGUACUGAAAUUUCUGUAGUGAAAAUAGACCCCCUCUCAGGUAACUGCUGUUACUUUCACUACAACGUCAUUCCUCUGUUGAGCUGGAAUUGUGGUAGGAAUCCACUGCAUUUCAGUAAAGCAGAAAGACCAGAGGUAGAUCAUUGCUGUUGCCCUUGAAAAUGGCUUCUGAAGCAAGCAAGGCAGUUGGCAGCAUGAAAAUUGCUUGGUCUUCUGAACAUGCAACUUGUUCCUUAUUCGGCACCUCCAUAGUGCUAAAUGUUUCCCCUUAAAGAACAUAGUCACCAUCAGAGCGUGGCAUGGUUUGGAUUGUGAGUUGUGGCUUUAACAGUGGACAGCACGAGAGCCUCUUCAGAUCCCUACUUACAAGCUUCCAUCAUGGAGUGCGUAUUACUCUUUAAACACAAAUGUAAAGAUGACAGACACUAAGUGGAAUGUCAUAGAUUCUUUAUAAAAACAUCCAUCCUGGGUCAGAUCAGUGGCCCAUCUAGCCAGGUGCUUUAAAGGGAAUGAACAGAACAGGGCCGUUAUCGAGUGAUCCAUCAUCCCCUGUCAGCAGUCAGAGAGUAGAGACACUCAGAGCAUGGGGUUGUAUCCCUAGCCAUCUUGGCUGUCCUCCAUGAACUUAUCUCAUUCUUUUUUUGAACCCAGUUAAAUUUUUGGCUUUCAUGUGACCUUUCUUAAAAAAAAAAAAAAAAUCUGUAGACAGAGAGUAAAUUUGAAGUGAUACUACAGAAAAAAGCCAACUUUUGUUACCUGUUCCACAAUGUGUAUUCUUACCACAAGCUUGAUAUCUAGUGUGUGUCCUCUAAGAGAAAAUUAAAAGUAAUGUGAAUUUACAUGUGGUUCCAAAGAUGCUCAGAAUAUUCACUACUGUAUUGCGAAAUAUUAUCUCAAUAUGAGAAUAAGAAAUAACAUUUGUUUCCUUACAAUCCUCCAGCACUUUCUUAUAAGUAGUAAGCAGUAAGAUCAAAAGUGUCCUCCUGAGAAGUUCCCCAAUGGUUUAGUGCUUACAUCCUUUUUAUAUUUUAGUUGUCAAAAACUGUCUUUGUAGAUCUUAAAAUAAGCUCUUUUUAUGUUCAGGAAAUGUCUCACGCUGCUGCUGAGAGGAAGUGUUUAUAAUCAAACACUUUAUUAUGUGUCUUAUAAGAUUUAAAGAUUUAAAAUGUUAUUUACACCCUUU
Non-coding RNA from Chelonoidis abingdonii (Abingdon island giant tortoise), 1340 nucleotides. The record is from RefSeq and is a predicted model, not a curated record. Lineage: Eukaryota; Metazoa; Chordata; Testudines; Testudinidae.